UACGAAGGGUGCAAGCGUUGCUCGGAAUUAUUGGGCGUAAAGGGUAGGUAGGUGGUUACGUAUGUCUGAGGUGAAAGCCCUGAGCUUAACUUAGGAAGUGCCUUGGAAACGGCGUAACUAGAGUACUGGAGAGGUUUGUAGAAUUCCCGGUGUAGCGGUGAAAUGCGUAGAGAUCGGGAGGAAUACCAGAGGCGAAGGCGGCAAACUGGACAGUAACUGACACUGAACUACGAAAGCGUGGGGAGCAAACAG
Molecule: ribosomal RNA, 252 nt
Filed under: uncultured bacterium
Lineage: Bacteria
Description: partial 16S ribosomal RNA
Rfam family: Bacterial small subunit ribosomal RNA
Source: RNAcentral